AAAAAAAAAAAAAAAAAAAAAAAUUUCAUAAUUAGUGUUUAUUGAGUUCAACUGGUUACUAUCUGCAAGGAAUUCCAAAUGUGUAAUAGAGGUUAUACUUGGUAUAAUUGGUUUUGCUAAUAAAAUACUGAGCUGUAAAAUUUAUUAUAAUAAUAUAUUAAGAUAUAAAAUGUUGAAGCAGUUCUUACAUGCAUUUGAAAAUUAUUGUAGUCCUCCCCAAGAAAUUCCACAUGGAAACUUGAUAAGACUGGCUGUGGAUGAGUUAUUCUGUUCCAAGAUUGGACUCUGUGAAGAGCACGGGUGUGGUGGCUUAAGAGAAUUUUCCCAACGAGUUUUCUGCCAUGGGGCACCCCCUUUUGUUGUCUUAAAUAUGCAGCAUUGGAAAUCUGAAGAUCUGGCAUAUGUACCCUAUUACUUGGAUUUGUCUGACCACAAGUAGGUGUUUUUUGUUGUUGUUUCUUUAUAAAACUAAUAAAAAAAUUUUAUCCUAUUAUGGUUUUGACUAGCCCGUAAGUGAUAUUGUUGAAAACAAUCAUAUCUGUCUCUAAAUUUAUGUAUUCUGAAUAGAAUCAGAAUUUAUUAGAGGGAGUCAGUUACUAGCAGUGCACAUAGUGGGUAGGUAUGUGGACUAUAGAAUAAACAAUUGUAUUCAAAUCAUAGCCCCAUCUUUUAUAAAUUAACCUUGGGUCAACAACUUAACCAGUUUACAUGUCAGUUUUCUUAUCUAUAAAACAGAGAUGAUGGUAUCAACCUAGUGCAAUUAUUGUAAAGAUUUAAUAAGCACAUACUAAGUGUUUAAGAUAGUGCCUGACACAUAAUACUGGAUAGUAUAAUAAUAGCACAAUAUUUUAUUCCUGACACGUACUGGCUAAUAUUUGUAUUUCAAGUCAAAGAAGUGUGUAGUAGCCGGGCGUGGUGGCUCACGCCUGUAAUCCCAGCACUUUGGGAGGCCAAGGUGGGCAGAUCACAAGGUCAGGAGAUUGAGACCAGCCUGGCUAACAUGGUGAAACCUCGUCUCUACUAAAAAUACAAAAAAUUAGCCAGGCGUGGUGGUGGGCGCCUGUAGUCCCAGCUACUUGGGAGGCUGAGGCAGGAGAAUGGCGUGAACCUGGGAAGCAGAGCUUGCAGUAAGCCGAGAUCACCACUGCACUUCAGCCUGGGCGACAGAGUGAGACUCCAUCCCCCCCAAAAAAAAAAAAAAAGAAGUGUGUAAUAGUAUGCAGGUGGUCAUCAU
RNAcentral lists this long non-coding RNA (1234 nucleotides) under Rhinopithecus bieti (black snub-nosed monkey). RNAcentral describes it as "lncRNA (ENSRBIG00000045697.1)". Lineage: Eukaryota; Metazoa; Chordata; Mammalia; Primates; Cercopithecidae. The record is from RNAcentral.